This is a long non-coding RNA of Rhipicephalus microplus (southern cattle tick), 860 nucleotides long. Lineage: Eukaryota; Metazoa; Arthropoda; Arachnida; Ixodida; Ixodidae. The record is from RefSeq and is a predicted model, not a curated record.
GCGCGCCGCUUUCUUUUUCCGAACUCGCGUUUGUCGUCAGUAAAGUGGCAACCUGGUAGGGACAUUGCGGAGAUGUCAUCAUGGUGUUUGAUGUGUCGACAAGUGCAGUUUUAUGGCAAUGGCAAGUGUUCCCUGGCGCAGUUGUGUUAGCCGCGCCGAACGUCAAACGCUCACAAAUGGACGGCAUGUGAAGGACUUCCCCCCGUGUGCAUCUACUGGCAAGUCCAAGCUUCGUAGGUUCCUUGUCUUCGGUAUCCCAUGAGCGGUACCAUUCACUCGUGUCCGUCCAAGGCGGGCUAAAUUCCUGCCGACAGUGCACCUAUGUGACCAAGUACAGUGCAAACAUGAAAACGCACAUUCGCAGACACACGGUUUGACAGUUUCACUGCUGAGUUUCAGGGAAACCUGCUGUCAAGACCACAAUGAAAGCAAUGUCCAGAGUUUCUAGAGCCUGCAUGACACAUCCUGAUGGAAGCAUAACACGAAAGACAUUUCUACCACAGUCUACCUUCAAGCAGUAGCUCCCAACUACAGCCAUAUUCGCAGUCACUGUCUCCUUUCUCGCCAUUAGCAGCAUUGUAUCACUUAUGUUGUGUAUUGUAAUAGAGUGCAUAUCAAGAGAGUGUUUAAGGGCAGCAUGCAAUAUUUUCUCAUUGAAACGCUGUACAAAAUUUCUUUUGUGAAAAAAUUGUAAGGAAACAUCAUUAAGUCUAUUCAUCUCUUUCAAGAUUCAGGUAUCCUGUAUUACAUUUGUAUUUAUUUGUUAAUUUUUUUAUGUUCAUGUUUGAGUACAUUCCAGUACAUAUUGUUACGGUGCAUCAUCGAUAAAAGCAAGCGUGGCACUUUGUGAAGACGACAAA